This is a long non-coding RNA of Numida meleagris (helmeted guineafowl), 467 nucleotides long. RefSeq lists it as uncharacterized. The record is from RefSeq and is a predicted model, not a curated record. NCBI's taxonomy places the organism in Eukaryota, Metazoa, Chordata, Aves, Galliformes, Numididae. The transcript is spliced from 2 exons.
AGGCUCACAUCCAGACCACGCUGCGCGACUCCUCCUGGCUCGGCAUCAGGGACGAGGAGCUGGAGGGCACCUGGAAACGGGCGAAUGGGUCCAUCCUGACCCGGGAACGCGGCUCGUGGCACUGGAGCGAGCCCAACGGCGGGCAGCGGGAGAACUGCGCGGUGGUGCGCGUGGACGGGAUGUGGUACGAUUACCCCUGCAGCAGCCAGAUGCCCUGGGUGUGCGAGGGGCAGCCCUGGGCGUGCGAGGGGAACCCCUGAAGCGUGCGGGGGGUCCCCUCCAGGUGUCCCCCCCCCCCCCCCCAAGACCCACGUCCCAUCAGCCCGCUUCCUUCCGCUUGGUACAUCCGACCCGCAGCGCCGUGGGAUGAGGUUCCGACCUCCCAGUGCCUCCGUUUUGGGGUCUGGAUGGAUGCCCCGAGUAAAAUUUGGGGUCCCCGCGGGGCAAUAAACGUGUGUGCAGAGUGA